GAUGAAGAACGUAGUGAAAUGCGAUAAGUAAUGUGAAUUGCAGAAUUCAGUGAAUCAUCGAGUCUUUGAACGCACAUUGCGCCCCCUGGUAUUCCGGGGGGCAUGCCUGUCCGAGCGUCAUUGCUGCCCUCAAGCACGGCUUGUGUGUUGGGCCCCCGUCCCCGGUUUCCCCCGGGGACGGGCCCGAAAGGCAGCGGCGGCACCGCGUCCGGUCCUCGAGCGUAUGGGGCUUUGUCACCCGCUCUGUAGGCCCGGCCGGCGCCAGCCGACACCCAACUUUAUUUCUAAGGUUGACCUCGGAUCAGGUAGGGAUACCCGCUGAACUUAAGCAUGUCAAUAAGCGGAGGA
Molecule: unclassified non-coding RNA, 348 nt
Filed under: soil metagenome
Description: partial contains 5.8S ribosomal RNA, internal transcribed spacer 2, and large subunit ribosomal RNA
Rfam family: 5.8S ribosomal RNA (bases 1-120)
Source: RNAcentral